RNAcentral lists this long non-coding RNA (240 nucleotides) under Mytilus galloprovincialis (Mediterranean mussel). The record is from RNAcentral. Lineage: Eukaryota; Metazoa; Mollusca; Bivalvia; Mytilida; Mytilidae.
GGUUUUUGUUUUGUUUUUGUGUGUUUGUUUUGAAAUUGUUUGUUUUAUUUUUCGUUUCUUUAAAUAUCAUUAGAUAGUUAUUAAUGUUUUGAAGGUCAUUUUCAUUAAAACUUUUUAGAAAUAUAUUGAAAACUUAAACAAUAGAACAUGACUGUCAUAUGUUCUUUAUUACGGGUGGGUAGUUAAUGUGCAACACAAAGAAUCAAAUUUCUGUAUAUAAGAUAGGCAAAUUGGCCAAUG